This 440-nucleotide ribosomal RNA is filed under the name uncultured bacterium. RNAcentral's name for it is "partial 16S ribosomal RNA". It matches the Rfam family "Bacterial small subunit ribosomal RNA", at positions 338 to 795 of the family's 1533-position model. The record is from RNAcentral.
CCUACGGGAGGCAGCAGUGGGGAAUAUUGCACAAUGGGGGGAACCCUGAUGCAGCGACGCCGCGUGAGUGAAGAAGUAUUUCGGUAUGUAAAGCUCUAUCAGCAGGGAAGAAAAUGACGGUACCUGACUAAGAAGCCCCGGCUAACUACGUGCCAGCAGCCGCGGUGAUACGUAGGGGGCAAGCGUUAUCCGGAUUUACUGGGUGUAAAGGGGGCGUAGACGGUGGCGCAAGUCUGACGUGAAAGCUCGGGGCCGAACCCCGGGACUGCCUUGGAAACUGUUGAACUGGAGUACAGGAGGGGUAAGCGGAAUUCCUAGUGUAGCGGUGAAAUGCGUAGAUAUUAGGAGGAACACCAGUGGCGAAGGCGGCUUACUGGACUGUAACUGACGUUGAGGCUCGAAAGCGUGGGGAGCAAACAGGAUUAGAUACCCCUGUAGUC